AACUUUAAGCAAUGGAUCACUUGGCUCUCGCAUCGAUGAGGAACGCAGUGAAACGCGAUACGUAAUGUGAAUCGCAGAAUUCAGUGAAUCAUCGAAUCUUUGAACGCAUAUUGCGUUCUCUGGUACUCCGGAGAGCAUGCUUGUUUGAAUAUCAGUAAACACCUCAAAUCCCUCUACUUGUUGGAGGAGUUAGGACUUGAGCAGUCCCAGCUUUUCGAAAGAGAAGGCGGGUUGUUUGAAAUGCAGGUGCAGCUAUAGAUUCUUUCUUCUGGCCUAUAAGCAUACCUAUUUGAUCCCGUCAAACGGGCUAUUUCUUUUGCUGCAGCUGGCAUAAAGGUUGAAGAGUCGCGAUGGCUGAUUGAUAGGAUUUAACAUGUCGCGCAAGCGAUCUGUAAACUCGAUCUCAAACCAAGCAAGACUACCCGCUGAACUUAAGCAUAUCAAUAAGCGGAGGCU
Molecule: unclassified non-coding RNA, 456 nt
Filed under: uncultured Mortierella
Lineage: Eukaryota; Fungi; Mortierellomycota; Mortierellomycetes; Mortierellales; Mortierellaceae
Description: sequence contains ITS2
Rfam family: 5.8S ribosomal RNA (bases 1-154)
Source: RNAcentral